This 337-nucleotide ribosomal RNA is filed under the name uncultured bacterium. Its description in RNAcentral is "bacterial SSU rRNA". It matches the Rfam family "Bacterial small subunit ribosomal RNA", at positions 8 to 334 of the family's 1533-position model. The record is from RNAcentral.
AGGGUUUGAUUAUGGCUCAGGAUGAACGCUAGCUACAGGCUUAACACAUGCAAGUCGAGGGGCAGCAUGGUCUUAGCUUGCUAAGGCUGAUGGCGACCGGCGCACGGGUGAGUAACACGUAUCCAACCUGCCGUCUACUCUUGGCCAGCCUUCUGAAAGGAAGAUUAAUCCAGGAUGGGAUCAUGAGUUCACAUGUCCGCAUGAUUAAAGGUAUUUUCCGGUAGACGAUGGGGAUGCGUUCCAUUAGAUAGUAGGCGGGGUAACGGCCCACCUAGUCAACGAUGGAUAGGGGUUCUGAGAGGAAGGUCCCCCACAUUGGAACUGAGACACGGUCCAA